AUCAUGGCUCAGAUUGAACGCUAGCGGGAUGCCUUACACAUGCAAGUCGAACGGCAGCACGGGAGCAAUCCUGGUGGCGAGUGGCGAACGGGUGAGUAAUAUAUCGGAACGUGCCCAGUAGUGGGGGAUAGCCCGGCGAAAGCCGGAUUAAUACCGCAUACGACCUGAGGGUGAAAGCGGGGGAUCGCAAGACCUCGCGCUAUUGGAGCGGCCGAUAUCAGAUUAGCUAGUUGGUGGGGUAAAGGCCUACCAAGGCUACGAUCUGUAGUUGGUCUGAGAGGACGACCAGCCACACUGGGAUUGAGACACGGCCCAGACUCCUACGGGAGGCAGCAGUGGGGAAUUUUGGACAAUGGGCGCAAGCCUGAUCCAGCAAUGCCGCGUGCAGGAAGAAGGCCUUCGGGUUGUAAACUGCUUUUGUCAGGGAAGAAAUCUUCUGGGCUAAUACCCCGGGAGGAUGACGGUACCUGAAGAAUAAGCACCGGCUAACUACGUG
RNAcentral lists this ribosomal RNA (496 nucleotides) under uncultured bacterium. Its description in RNAcentral is "bacterial SSU rRNA". It matches the Rfam family "Bacterial small subunit ribosomal RNA", at positions 16 to 507 of the family's 1533-position model. The record is from RNAcentral.